Molecule: long non-coding RNA, 3543 nt
Organism: Zonotrichia leucophrys gambelii
Lineage: Eukaryota; Metazoa; Chordata; Aves; Passeriformes; Passerellidae
Exons: 3
Source: RefSeq, a predicted model, not a curated record
UUCAGCUGUGGUUGUGCAUCAAACCCCAGUGUAGAGCCCAAGGUGAUGGAUAAAACACAUACAUGUGGGACAAAUCAGUCUCAGGCAGUUUGUAGACUUUAAGUAAAGGCACUUACAGGCUGGAUUCACCCACAAUGGGAAGGUGGAGUGAGUUUUAGAAUAGAAAUAAGUGUUUGGUUCCUUGUUAAGUUCAUUAUUAUUUUCAGGAAAUUGGUGCUAAACCAUAAAAGGCACCUCCCUAGGAAAGGACAAGAGAAGGAUGGGAGUCUCUGCUCUGCCUGGAGACAGGAGCUGGGGAAGAACACUGAGCACUGAUGCACAUUUUAUCUGUGGAAACUGCACUCUCCCCCCAUGGAGUCUAGGUAAGAAAGCGAGCUCCCAAAUCCAGAGAUGACCUGGAACAAUGAAAACAAGAGACUGAUUUGGUCCAUCAGCCUCAGUGUGGCUCUACAUGGCACAAGGACUCAACCUUCAGCCAGUUUGGGAAGAAAGGAUGAGAAAAAGCACAGAAGACGGGAGGAGGGUAAGUCUGGAAAGUAGAGAGCUGCCAGGACUGGAUAUUGAGCUAAAAAAUCAGUGGUAGGGGAAGUGUUACCAGCAGCCUAGGCAAAAAAAAAAUUAUCAGAGGAAGAAUACAGAAUACUUGGAAGGACACUGGCCAAAGCAGGCUUUGGUUUUGUUAGUUAUGGACAGGAAACUCACAACCAAAGGUGGCUUGGAAGAGAAGGAGCACAUGGAUCAAAGAAGAGGAAAUGCCACAGUGUAUUCACCAAGGCUCUGCCUGCUGCUGAAUAGCAGAGGGAGAGCAGAGCUUUUUGUGCUUGAAUAAGAAGUUUAAAGAAGUCUUUCAAGAACAGUGUAAGAAUCUAGAAAAAGGAAACAACCUGAAGUGAUUGUGGGCAGCCCCUAGCAUCCUGGAAUAAAAAGAACAAUACAAAAGAAAACACAGCCCAACAGAAAUAAUGGGGACGAUAGAGGGAGCCAAAUUAAUUCAAAAAAACAUUAGGCAAAAUUGGUACCGUAGCUCUUCUGACAAAAAGAGAGAUUAGGAGUCUUCAUUUAAAGUUCACAAAGCUCUUAGCAGGGCAGAGAGUGGGGAUACUACAAAGCUGUUUGACCCAGUGUCAAGAACAAGCAAAGAUGCAGCAGUGAGAUAAGCCACAGCUGGACAUGGCAGGAAUUCAGGAAGGAAUGUCAGCACAGAGCAAGAGAGAACUGCAACAUAAACUCCCCUUACAUGGCCAGGGCACCAAAAGUUAGCUCCAUGGAAGAGCUGGGCAUUAGUAGAAUUCUGUAACUAGCCCAGAGGACACUGUGCCUGAGGAUUUGUCACCUCUGGUUGUUUCACACAGAACUGCUGGUGUUUUACAGUGAUCCUGCAUGCUGACAGAGUGCCCUGAGCUGGCCUGCCCUCUCCUCUCACAGCUACUGCAGGGAGCUGCAGCUGGCUCAAUCCAGUGCAGGCAGACACAAUACACAAGAGAUCACAUUCUGUCUUGCUCAAGACCAAGUCUUGCAGUCAUUGUGCCUUGAAACACAGGCAGGGUUUCAGUGUAGCAUGUUGGUCUCCUUCAAACAAUAAAUGAACCAAGUCAAAAGCUUUUAGGGAAAACAGAUGCAAAGGCUGAACUUAGAAAGAUAACUAAUAAACCACUUAAAAAAUAGAGUGCAUUUUGGCAAAAACCUUGGUGAGGAAGGCAUAGGAAAUCUAUUUUCUGUGUGAAAUUUACAGCGAAAGAAAGCAAGGUCUGUGUGUGAACAAAAAUCAGGUGUCUGAUGACGCCUCCUGUGCCAUCCUCUCAGCCAUGCCAUUUCUCAAGUGACUCUCCCAGGCCCCCAAAGAGCACAGCAGUUGCCACACCAGAUGAGCCUGGUAGCCUUCCUAAUCCAGUCUUCUCACUCCAACAGUUGCUACCCUCUGAUACUUCAAAGAAAGGUGCAAGAAACUCCAUAGUGGACAAUUAUAGAAUAACCCGCCCACAAGGGAAGUUUUUCCCUAAUCCCUCGCCAUCAGUUAGUGGUUAUAUUGUGCCUUGAAGCCUGACAGUUUAUAUCCCUUCUAAAAUUUAUUUAUAUCCUGUCUAAUGUGACCAUGAAUGUUCUUGGUAUCCAUAUAAAUGUCUAAUCCUUUUCUGAAUCCUGCUAAUCUCCUGGCCUCAAUGAAACCUCAUGGUAACAAAUGCCAUGUGUUAAUUACACAUGGUACAAAUAUUUCCUUGCACCAUUUUAAAUUUGCUUCCUUCCAAUUUCACUGGGUAUCCCUUGAUCCUGCAAUAGGAAAAAGGGCAAUGAAAUUAGAGCUUGUUCAUUCUUGCUGAGCCACGCUGCUGCUCCUUGAUUUGUUUCUUCUCUAAACCAGCUUGUUCCCAUCCUCAGCCAGUUUUCCCUGGUCAGGCUGUUAGGCAGUGGCCUGAGACACAGCACAGAGCUUAUACCUUCACCUUAUUCUCUGUUGAUAUGUUCAUUUUGAGUGGAAAAAGAGAGAGGAAACCCUGGAGAUCUCAAAAGUGCAUGCUGAAAUCAGACUGCUUUGUCAGCAGGUGUUAGGGUGGCACUGAGGGAUGCCACCAGCCUUUCCCUGCAAGUCAGAGACGGAGGCAAUGUGUGAACCUGAGUCUGCAGCCUGAACCCUUGGAGCUUCAGGCUGCUCCUGGAAGGGGAUAUCCCCCUCCCACUGCAACUCAGUCAUUUCACUGCUUCCUCACAUCCUCGCCAGUUAAGACCAGGCUGUGGGAUUAGUGCAGUUCUGAAGGAGUUGCCCUCAUCCACAGCCUAACCCUGCUCUGCUGUGACCGUGGUUGAACUCCAGUUUCACGCUGGUGUCACUGGAGCUAAGCCUAACUGAGGCAGAGCUGUGCACGGUGAUCCUUGGCAGCUGUUUUGAAGCUGGGCUGCGGUGCCCACAGAGAGCUCGUCAGGUGCUGCAGUGACAGCACACGAGGUCACAGCUGCUCGCGGUUCCACUGGAGCUGUGUCCCGUUAACGCAGCUCCACAGGCAGUAAUUCAUCCCUGUUUGUCGCGGAACGUUUUCUCGCAAUACAAUUCAAAAUAGGGCAGCGUUGCUCUUCAUUUCCGAGCCGGGAGGAACGGGGGCACCGGGAGUGUGGGUGACACGCAGAGCUGUCCCCGGGCACCGGAGCGCGUCCGGCUCCUCGUGGCAGCCGCAUGCGGCCAACAAGAAGCGCUGCUUGGGCUCCCUCACUCAGAGGCACGAAGUGGGAGCAGAAACCCUGGGGGAUUCGCAGGGGUUCGCUGCACCAGGAGCCAUCCCCGGCAGCUCCCGGUGCCAGCCAAGGGAUCGGGAUCAGCACCAGGACCGGGACCGGCGGAGCCGCCGCGUGUGGGAGCGCCCCGCCCACAGCCAUAGCCCCGCCCCAGAUGGGCGUGUCCGGGCGGGCGCCGGGGGCCUGUUGUUGUGAUGAGCGCUGGCCCCGCCCGCUCCUCGUGCACGGCCGCGCGCCGCCCCUCCCUCACGCCUUUUGUCCCCGCCCCGCCGGGCCCACCAUGCCCCGCCCCCCGCCCGAUCGCGCCUUCCCAUUGGU